UAAGGAAUAUUGGUCAAUGGGCGCAAGCCUGAACCAGCCAUGCCGCGUGCAGGAAGACUGCCCUAUGGGUUGUAAACUGCUUUUGUCGGGGAAUAAACCUCUUUACGAGUAAAGAGCUGAAUGUACUCGAAGAAUAAGGAUCGGCUAACUCCGUGCCAGCAGCCGCGGUAAUACGGAGGAUCCAAGCGUUAUCCGGAUUUAUUGGGUUUAAAGGGUGCGUAGGCGGCUUAUUAAGUCAGGGGUGAAAGACGGUGGCUCAACCAUCGCAGUGCCUUUGAUACUGAUGAGCUUGAAUGAACCUGAGGUAGGCGGAAUGUGACAAGUAGCGGUGAAAUGCAUAGAUAUGUCACAGAACACCAAUUGCGAAGGCAGCUUACUAAAGUUUAAUUGACGCUGAGGCACGAAAGCGUGGGGAUCAAACAG
This 423-nucleotide ribosomal RNA is filed under the name uncultured bacterium. RNAcentral describes it as "bacterial SSU rRNA". It matches the Rfam family "Bacterial small subunit ribosomal RNA", at positions 355 to 775 of the family's 1533-position model. The record is from RNAcentral.